AUUGUACUGAUGAGGAAGCUGACGUUAAGAGCAGUAAAUUGCCUGCUUCAAACAGCUUAUAAAUGGCAGAGCAAGGAUCUAAGAAAUCAAGGGGAUUUUAAAAUUCUACCCCUUAACUCUAAUUCAUAGUUGAGUCAUGAGGAGGCUGAAUAAUUGCAUACUCUACACUUAUCCUCAUUCUGCUUUUAAUUUAUGUAAGUGUUUACUGACCUUGCUUUAAGCUUCCUGAAACCAGACGGCACAACUUAGAGGGAAGAAAUCUCAGAAUGAAUAUAGGGCUCUUCUUGUAGUCUGGCCAAUGGAUCUGCUGGGUAAGUGGCAGAAUCCCUCACUUACUUAGUAGAUAAAGCUCUCCAUGAGGACAUACUGAAAGCCCCUAGCUAGUCCCUAGAGGAGAAUCUCUCAGCUGAUGACACCCAGGAAUCAUCUCACCAAUGAGACCCUUUAAGACUUAGAAGCUCCUUACCAGCGGAACAUCCUGCAGGUGUGACCCAGCAGGAGGGAACUCACUCUACUGAGAAGCAUUUUCAUCCUAGAUUCUAUCCAGUUACUUAUGAAGACUGAAAUCCAGAUAAUAAGACUUGGUGUGCCCCAGCAGUAAAGCCCUGCAGUGACGUGCUCAAGGCAAAAGUGAACGGCACUGAGUAAGCUGAGAGGUCUCUGGCCUCCACUGCACUGGAGAGGAUCCCGGAGGAUGGGUGAGAGAGGAUCUAUGUAGAGGCAUCAGGAAUCACUGACCUCUCACACGCGUUUUAGAGGACGUCCACCGUCAAUGAGACACAGAGAGCACUUAUAGCCAGAUUUUGGAUUUCAACACAGAUUACCAGUCUCAAGAGAUGACAUUAUGAAUCUCUGUGCUAUGCUGCCUCUCAAAUGUGCACCGAAUGUUCAAGGAGGUUGAAGUAAACCAGGAAGAAUGGAGCAAAGACAUGGAUACAUUAAGCUAUUUUAUUGUUCCAUUUCAUUCUGCUUAUAGAAAAAGUUUUCAACCUUCAUUUUAUAAAUCAGAGACAAGUUUAUGGCUACAAGUUCACUAAAGCCUGGAGAUUAUCAACACACAUACACACACAUAAUAGUUUCAUUUUUAAUGAUGUAUCACAUAUAAUUGGAAGUUAUUAAAGCUCAGAUACCAAAGCUCAGUAUCUUCUUUUUCAAAAUUAGUGGCUUCAGUGUUCCUGUUACCAAAUGAUUCAUUUUGCUCUUCAUUCAAAGAUGAAAGCUUCUACUUGGAAGUGGGAAAGAUAACUGAGAAAAUGUUAUUCAGGUCCCUCAUCAUAAAAUUGAAUAGGGUCACAUAAUUGGAAAGUUAUUUAAGCAUAGCACAAUCAGAUGCCAUGGUUAUCUUCCUGCUUGCUAACCCAGGUUAUUUCACAGUGGAAAGUAUGCUAGUCUGGAAAGGGACAGAGGAAAAGAAGUCUUAUGAAAGAAAUCAUUUUGCAAUGGCAAGUAUACCAAUGCCCUCAGGAAACUGUAGCAACAAUCAGGAUUUAAUCCAACUAAAGCAAAUAUUGCAGGACACAGGAAGGUAAUGUCAAAUACAAGACUUUAUUGGAUUGGCCUCUGAAAUAGAUAAAUGUGCAAAUGCAAAACUGAUGAAAAGAAAUAAGUUUGCUACCUACCAUUAAAUGGAUCAAUAUCAAUCUGCUAACUUUAAUCUUUUUAUGGUAGUUUUCAUUAUAAGACAUGACCUGUGUUUUUCUAACAAUCUACCAUCAAAAGACUAGCUUUGAGUGAAAUUAAGGUUUACCUUUACAAAUUAUUAACACACCUGCCCCUGAAUAUUAACUCAAAGCAAAUUUGUCAUUUCCCUCAAAGGCUGCUGACAUUCAUGGCCUUUCAAGAUCCUUAUAUUUCUAUCAUUCUAUUCAGCUUAAAAUAGUCUGAAGGUUUUCUUUAAAUGAGCAGAAAGUAUAGCAGAAAUUCACGAGCUUUAGUAAAUCUUUAGAAUUCAGAUGAACUCUUAUGUAUUGCUUUAUGGAAAAAUAGCUUCCCAAAGUCACUUUCAUACUUGGUGUCAAUAUUCUCAUUCUUACUCACCCAGGGGCUACUUGGAGAACAGAGUUAACAAAUGUCCACAUAGAGAAGUUUCUUGUAAGGAACUACAAUGGAGGAUAGAAAUGAAGUGGAAACAAAAGGAAGAACUACAUGACAUUUUUUUUUUUAAAUAUCUCAUUUUAAUAGAAUAUUGAAAAAGCUUAUUUAGUAUAAUAAAGAAUGGGAAUUUUUGCACAGAUAAUUUGAUCCACUCUUCCUAUUCUCAAAUAUAAUUUCCUCAUGUGAUAUCUUUCUCCAAAGUGGGGAGCAAUAGCAGAGCUUUUUUAUUAAGGGGAGAGAAUCUUUUUUGUGUAGGUAAAAUAGUCCAUUGGUGUGGCAGAAGCCAGGAUAACCAACCAACUUGUGUAUUUCAAUCUUCUGUUCUGAGACCAACAUUGUUUUCCAUCCCUAAUAUUUGAAGAAACUUCCCAUGAUGGCACAGACCUAC
This 2482-nucleotide long non-coding RNA is filed under the name Equus caballus (horse). RNAcentral's name for it is "lncRNA (ENSECAG00000050836.1)". The record is from RNAcentral. Lineage: Eukaryota; Metazoa; Chordata; Mammalia; Perissodactyla; Equidae.